CCAUGCCGCGUGAGUGAAGAAGGCCUUCGGGUUGUAAAGCUCUUUCGGCCGGGAAGAAAUCGCAUGGGUGAAUACCCUGUGUGGAUGACGGUACCGGAACAAGAAGCACCGGCUAACUACGUGCCAGCAGCCGCGGUAAUACGUAGGGGGCAAGCGUUGUCCGGAUUCAUUGGGCGUAAAGAGCUCGUAGGUGGCUCGGUAAGUCGGGUGUGAAAUUUCGAGGCUCAACCUCGAAACGCCACCUGAUACUGCUGUGGCUAGAGUCCGGUAGGGGAGCGUGGAAUUCCUGGUGUAGCGGUGAAAUGCGCAGAUAUCAGGAGGAACACCAGCGGCGAAGGCGGCGCUCUGGGCCGGUACUGACACUGAGGAGCGAAAGCGUGGGGAUCAAA
Molecule: ribosomal RNA, 389 nt
Filed under: uncultured bacterium
Lineage: Bacteria
Description: bacterial SSU rRNA
Rfam family: Bacterial small subunit ribosomal RNA
Source: RNAcentral